UGGAGAGUUUGAUCCUGGCUCAGGACGAACGCUGGCGGCGUGCUUAACACAUGCAAGUCGAACGGAAAGCCCCUUCGGGGUACUCGAGUGGCGAACGGGUGAGUAACACGUGGGUGAUCUGCCCUGCACUUUGGGAUAAGCCUGGGAAACUGGGUCUAAUACCGAAUAGGACCGCGCUCUUCAUGGGGUGUGGUGGAAAGCUUUUGCGGUGUGGGAUGGGCCCGCGGCCUAUCAGCUUGUUGGUGGGGUAAUGGCCUACCAAGGCGACGACGGGUAGCCGGCCUGAGAGGGUGACCGGCCACACUGGGACUGAGAUACGGCCCAGACUCCUACGGGAGGCAGCAGUGGGGAAUAUUGCACAAUGGGCGCAAGCCUGAUGCAGCGACGCCGCGUGAGGGGAUGACGGCCUUCGGGUUGUAAACCUCUUUCAAUAGGGACGAAGCGCAAGUGACGGUACCUAUAGAAGAAGGACCGGCCAACUACGUGCCAGCAGCCGCGGUA
Molecule: ribosomal RNA, 501 nt
Filed under: Mycobacterium sp. N608
Lineage: Bacteria; Bacillati; Actinomycetota; Actinomycetes; Mycobacteriales; Mycobacteriaceae
Description: bacterial SSU rRNA
Rfam family: Bacterial small subunit ribosomal RNA
Source: RNAcentral